UUCGGGUCGUGGACUCGGGUAUCGGGCCAAGAAAAGCGGGUAUUGUACCAAGGAUAUCGGAGUUGCGGAGUCAACUGGCCGAUUGGGCAAUAGGCUGCAGGAAAGGACGAUGUGCCGAAGAAUCGGACGAAGCGUCGAGGGACCAAUGACAUGUCGGACAACAUGAUUAAUGCUUAGUAUUAAUUGUCUCGAUCGAAGUUUUGCUUUAAUUGUGCAGGAUUAACUAUGAUAACGAUGAAGACAUAAAGCGAAACAAGGUGUCGGAGUCAAGCGCGAAGGAUUUGUUGCAAGUUCGAGAGUUCGACGGAAGUCCAAAGGUUCAUCGGGAAUGCUACCGGAACUAGCCGAGAAUGAGUUGGGAGCUUGCCGAAGGAUUUUCGGAAGCUCGCCGGAAGGUUCGUUGGAAGUUCGCGGAGCUCGCCGAGAAAGAUCGGAGCUUGCCGAAGAAGCUCAUUGGAACUCGCUAAGAUCAAAUCGUGAAGUCUAGGAGCUUGCCAGGAGUCCGCAGAAUGGUUUCCGAGAGUUCAUCGGAAGACCGCCGGAAGUUUAC
This 550-nucleotide long non-coding RNA is filed under the name Musa acuminata (dwarf banana). RNAcentral describes it as "long non-coding RNA (MACU_LNC010343)". The record is from RNAcentral. Lineage: Eukaryota; Viridiplantae; Streptophyta; Magnoliopsida; Zingiberales; Musaceae.